This 694-nucleotide ribosomal RNA is filed under the name uncultured Bacteroidales bacterium. Its description in RNAcentral is "bacterial SSU rRNA". It matches the Rfam family "Bacterial small subunit ribosomal RNA", at positions 32 to 715 of the family's 1533-position model. Lineage: Bacteria; Pseudomonadati; Bacteroidota; Bacteroidia; Bacteroidales. The record is from RNAcentral.
AACGCUAGCUACAGGCUUAACACAUGCAAGUCGAGGGGCAGCGGGAUUGAAGCUUGCUUCAAUUGCCGGCGACCGGCGCACGGGUGAGUAACGCGUAUCCAACCUUCCGUACACUCAGGGAUAGCCUUUCGAAAGAAAGAUUAAUACCUGAUGGUAUGAUGAGAUUGCAUGAUAGCAUCAUUAAAGAUUUAUCGGUGUACGAUGGGGAUGCGUUCCAUUAGGUAGUAGGCGGGGUAACGGCCCACCUAGCCAACGAUGGAUAGGGGUUCUGAGAGGAAGGUCCCCCACAUUGGAACUGAGACACGGUCCAAACUCCUACGGGAGGCAGCAGUGAGGAAUAUUGGUCAAUGGACGAGAGUCUGAACCAGCCAAGUAGCGUGAAGGAUGAAGGUCCUACGGAUUGUAAACUUCUUUUAUAAGGGAAUAAACCCUCCCACGUGUGGGAGCUUGUAUGUACCUUAUGAAUAAGCAUCGGCUAACUCCGUGCCAGCAGCCGCGGUAAUACGGAGGAUGCGAGCGUUAUCCGGAUUUAUUGGGUUUAAAGGGAGCGCAGACGGGUCGUUAAGUCAGCUGUGAAAGUUUGGGGCUCAACCUUAAAAUUGCAGUUGAUACUGGCGUCCUUGAGUGCGGUUGAGGUGUGCGGAAUUCGUGGUGUAGCGGUGAAACGCUUAGAUAUCACGAAGAACUCCGAUUG